CACGUAGUUAGCCGGGGCUUUCUUCUCAGGUACCGUCACUCUUAGAGCAGUUACUCUCUAAGACGUUCUUCCCUGGCAACAGAGCUUUACGAUCCGAAAACCUUCAUCACUCACGCGGCGUUGCUCCGUCAGACUUUCGUCCAUUGCGGAAGAUUCCCUACUGCUGCCUCCCGUAGGAGUCUGGGCCGUGUCUCAGUCCCAGUGUGGCCGUUCACCCUCUCAGGUCGGCUACGCAUCGUCGCCUUGGUGAGCCAUUACCUCACCAACUAGCUAAUGCGCCGCAGGCCCAUCCAUAAGUGACAGAUUGCUCCGUCUUUCAUGAUUCUCUCAUGCGAGAAAACCAGCUAUCCGGUAUUAGCUACCGUUUCCGGUAGUUAUCCCAGUCUUACAGGCAGGUUGCCUACGUGUUACUCACCCGUCCGCCGCUAACUUUCAGAGAAGCAAGCUUCUCUGAAAGUCCGCUCGACUUGCAUGUAUUAGGCACGCCGCC
Molecule: ribosomal RNA, 490 nt
Filed under: uncultured Paenibacillus sp.
Lineage: Bacteria; Bacillati; Bacillota; Bacilli; Caryophanales; Paenibacillaceae
Description: partial 16S ribosomal RNA
Source: RNAcentral